UAAAGCUCUUUGUCAGGGAAGAAACGGCUGAGGUUAAUACCUUUGGCUAAUGACGGUACGUGAAGAAUAAGCACCGGCUAACUACGUGCCAGCAGCCGCGGUAAUACGUAGGGUGCAAGCGUUAAUCGGAAUUACUGGGCGUAAAGCGUGCGCAGGCGGUUUGUAAGUCUGUCGUGAAAGCCCCGGGCUCAACCUGGGAAUUGCGAUGGAGACUGCAAGGCUUGAAUCUGGCAGAGGGGGGUAGAAUUCCACGUGUAGCAGUGAAAUGCGUAGAGAUGUGGAGGAACACCGAUGGCGAAGGCAGCCCCCUGGGUCAAGAUUGACGCUCAUGCACGAAAGCGUGGGGAGCAAACAGGAUUAGAUACCCUGGUAGUCCACGCCCUAAACGAUGUCUACUAGUUGUCGGGUUUUAAUUAACUUGGUAACGCAGCUAACGCGUGAAGUAGACCGCCUGGGGAGUACGGUCGCAAGAUUAAAACUCAAAUGAAUUGACGGGGACCCGCACAAGCGGUGGAUGAUGUGGAUUAAUUCGAUGCAACGCGAAAAACCUUACCUACCCUUGACAUGGAAGGAAUCCUGGAGAGAUCUGGGAGUGCCCGAAAGGGAACCUUCACACAGGUGCUGCAUGGCUGUCGUCAGCUCGUGUCGUG
RNAcentral lists this ribosomal RNA (650 nucleotides) under Massilia alkalitolerans. RNAcentral describes it as "bacterial SSU rRNA". It matches the Rfam family "Bacterial small subunit ribosomal RNA", at positions 426 to 1069 of the family's 1533-position model. The record is from RNAcentral. Lineage: Bacteria; Pseudomonadati; Pseudomonadota; Betaproteobacteria; Burkholderiales; Oxalobacteraceae.